This 360-nucleotide long non-coding RNA is filed under the name Phoenix dactylifera (date palm). RNAcentral describes it as "long non-coding RNA (PDAC_LNC008006)". The record is from RNAcentral. Lineage: Eukaryota; Viridiplantae; Streptophyta; Magnoliopsida; Arecales; Arecaceae.
GAGGUGGCUUAUAUUAUAAUCUAAUAAUUGCUAGCUGAUGGAUACAUUAUUGUCUCAACAAUAAUCUCCUGCAAAACAAGUAAUGGAUGCCUUCUACCUACCAUUAAAAAUAAUAACGUCGUAUCAAUGAUCAUUUAAAAUUAUGUGGAAGCAAGUUUCAGGGCAAAAACUUUUAACACAUUCAUAAGAUUACCAGGAUAUGGAAUUAGGUUUUUGAGUAGGUUUCAAAAUCCAUACGAGCAAGACAAGGACGGCACUCCAAUCAUGGCCAUUCAUGCUCUGUACACCGGACAUAAUUGAAUAGGUCAUACAUGGCUCCAUGAUUGCUCCACAUAUCAUGUGAAGCUUAUUCGAUUAUGA